CGCAAGGCUGAAACUUAAAGGAAUUGGCGGGGGAGCACUGCAACGGGAGGAGCGUGCGGUUUAAUUGGAUUCAACGCCGGAAAACUCACCAAGGCCGACGGACAAAUGAAGAUCAACGUAACGAGUUUAUUGGAUUGUCCGAGAGGUGGUGCAUGGCCGUCGUCAGUUCGUACUGUAAAGCGUUCUGUUAAGUCAGAUAACGAACGAGACCCGCAUCUCUAUUUGCGACCCUCAUGUCCGCAUGAGGCGCACCAUAGAGAGACCGCUGGUGUGAAACCAGAGGAAGGCGCGGGCAACGACAGGUCAGUAUGCCCCGAAUGUCUUGGGCUACACGCGCGCUACAAAGGACAGGACAAUGGGAAGCCACGCCGAGAGGCGGCGCUACCCCGAAACCUGUUCAUAGUUCGGAUCGAGGGCUGUAACUCGCCCUCGUGAAGCUGGAUUCCGUAGUAAUCGUGUUUCAACAUAGCACGGUGAAUAUGCCCCUGCUCCUUGCACACACCGCCCGUCAAACCAUCUUAGUUGGGGAUGGAUGAGGCUGCGUUUUAAUGGCGUAUUCGAGUCUGUCUUCGACAAGGAGGGUUAAGUCGUAACAAGGUAUCUGUAGGGGAACCUGCAGAUGGAUCACCUCCUAA
This 635-nucleotide ribosomal RNA is filed under the name Methanobacteriota archaeon. RNAcentral's name for it is "bacterial SSU rRNA". It matches the Rfam family "Archaeal small subunit ribosomal RNA", at positions 842 to 1478 of the family's 1478-position model. Lineage: Archaea; Methanobacteriati; Methanobacteriota. The record is from RNAcentral.